RNAcentral lists this non-coding RNA (21 nucleotides) under Caenorhabditis elegans. Lineage: Eukaryota; Metazoa; Nematoda; Chromadorea; Rhabditida; Rhabditidae. The record is from RNAcentral.
UGUAUUGUAUUCAAGUUCUUG